RNAcentral lists this ribosomal RNA (1348 nucleotides) under metagenome. RNAcentral describes it as "bacterial SSU rRNA". It matches the Rfam family "Bacterial small subunit ribosomal RNA", at positions 140 to 1498 of the family's 1533-position model. The record is from RNAcentral.
AGGAUAGCCCUAGGAAACUGGGAUUAAUACUCCAUAAUAUUAUAGAUUCUCCUGUUUUUAUAAUUAAAGCUCCGGCGGUUUAAGAUGGGCAUGCGUGCCAUUAGUUUGUUGGUGAGGUAACGGCUCACCAAGACUACGAUGGCUAGGGGGUCUUAAAGGAUGGUCCCCCACACUGGUACUGAGACACGGACCAGACUCCUACGGGAGGCAGCAGUGAGGAAUAUUGGUCAAUGGGCGAAAGCCUGAACCAGCCAUGCCGCGUGCAGGAUUGACGGCCCUAUGGGUUGUAAACUGCUUUUCUGAGGUAAGGAACGUCCAUACGUGUAUGGAUUUGCCGGUACCUCAGGAAUAAGCAUCGGCUAACUCCGUGCCAGCAGCCGCGGUAAUACGGAGGAUGCAAGCGUUAUCCGGAUUUAUUAGGUUUAAAGGGUACGUAGGCGGGGUAUUAAGUCAGUGGUGAAAUCUUGCCGCUUAACGGUAAAAUUGCCAUUGAAGCUGAUACUCUUGAGUGUAGUUGAGGUAGGCGGAAUGUGUAGUGUAGCGGUGAAAUGCUUAGAUAUUACACAGAACACCAAUUGCGAAGGCAGCUUACUAAACUAUCACUGACGCUGAGGUACGAAAGCGUGGGGAGCGAACAGGAUUAGAUACCCUGGUAGUCCACGCUGUAAACGAUGAUCACUCGUUGUUCGCAAUACAUCGUGAGCGACUGAGCGAAAGCAUUAAGUGAUCCACCUGGGGAGUACGUCGGCAACGAUGAAACUCAAAGGAAUUGACGGGGGCCCGCACAAGCGGAGGAACAUGUGGUUUAAUUCGAUGAUACGCGAGGAACCUUACCUGGGCUUAAAUGCAGAACGACGUACCGGGAAACUGGUAUUUUCUUCGGAACGGACUGCAAGGUGCUGCAUGGUUGUCGUCAGCUCGUGCCGUGAGGUGUCGGGUUAAGUCCCAUAACGAGCGCAACCCCUAUCGUUAGUUGCCAGCGGAUAAUGCCGGGGACUCUAACGAGACUGCCAUCGUAAGAUGCGAGGAAGGUGGGGAUGACGUCAAAUCAGCACGGCCCUUAUGUCCAGGGCUACACACGAGUUACAAUGGCUAGUACAAAGGGCAGCUACCUGGUGACAGGAUGCUAAUCUCAAAAACUGGUCUUAGUUCGGAUCGUAGUCUGCAAUUCGACUACGUGAAGUUGGAUUCGCUAGUAAUCGCGCAUCAGCCAUGGCGCGGUGAAUACGUUCCCGGGCCUUGUACACACCGCCCGUCAAGCCAUGGAAGCUGGGGGUGCCUGAAGUUCGUAACCGUAAGGAGCGACCUAGGGUAAAACUAGUAACUGGGGCUAAGUCGAAACAAGGUA